ACAGGAGCCCCAGCCCCACACAGCAACCACCCGGGCGAGAAAGAAAGAAAGAGCCAGGGAGGCGGGCGAAGCGCGGGGAGAGAAGCAGAGAAGAAAUAUUCACCUUCCCGCCUCAUGCCCACUUUGAGGCACUUCUUGAGGCGGCAGUAUUGGCACUGGUUGCGGUGGUGCUGGUCGAUGGGACAGUUCCUGUUGGCACGGCAUGUGUAAGUUAAGUUCCUGCGGACGCUCCUCUUGAAGAAACUUUUGCAGCCCUCGCAGCAGGUAGAUGAAACUCAAGAGAAAAGGUGUGGAUAAAUGAAACUAGCCCAUGAUGAACCUGUUUUCUCCGUGACCACAAUAUUAACCAGGAUGAAUGGCGGUGGCAGUGGGCCUGCAUCACAGGUUGCAGCAGAUGUUCUCAAUAUUUCUAUUAAAAUUUCCUUAUUUCCAUAUGCAAGAGGAGCCCCAGAGCUGCAUCCUUAUGGUAGCUACCAUGCCGUGAUGUAAGCUGCCAUUCACUGGGGAGCUUUGGCAAUAGAAUUGGCUAGAUCAGGAAGCCUAUGUCAACUAUGGAACAACAACUUGCAGCUCAUCUCUAUUGAUGAUGGAAUCUCGCUAUGUCACCAGGCUGGAGUGCAGUGGCGCAACCUCGGCUCAGCGCAACAUCCGCCUCCCGGGUUCAAGUGAUUCUCCUACCUCAGCCUCCUGAGUAGCUGGGAUUACAGGUGAAACAGUCGCAAAUGGAAUUCCAAGAAACAUUCUAUAUACACUGCCUCUAGGACUGGGACAGAUAGCCACUGAGUACCUGCUUCAAAUCACCCUGCACGUUUUCUCUUUGGAAAGAUAAGCACUGGAGAACCAUCUCGUUACCUUCAGCAGAAAUGGAAACAAAUCAAGACAUUAAGAAUGCCGCAGUGGACAGCAGUUAUGCAAGGUUCAGCAGAGGAAGUUUUCAAGAUGGUGUGCCUCACUAGCCAGAAAUCAGAAAAGAUCGAAGCUAGCCUUUUCAUCUCAGCUGCUCCUUAAAUCAGUGCAACCCCUCCAAAUUAAUGUGAAUUGAAACUUGCAUUGCUUUUCAACUUAAUUGAAUACUUACUAUAUGUGAACCACUGCACAAAAUAGGGGAAGAAGAUGUGGGAGACAAAGAUGUGGAGCCUGUCUUCAAUAAAUUUACAGUUAGUUUCAGGGUACAUUGUUUUUCUUCUGCUGUUAAUUAGGUGUAUCCCCAAGACAAUAAAUACAUGAAUGGAAAAGUAUAUUCUGUGUUUUAAGUCUCUUUAAUAAAAAACAAAACAAAAUCCAAAAAAACUCCUAACAUGGCAACUCAGGACAUUUUAAUCCUUUUUUUUGUUGUUGGGCUUCUGAUAGGAUCCAUUUUAUUGAUUCCAUAAAUAUUUAGUAGACUUUAGACAUAUUAAUACAUUGUAGUUUGAGUUAAUUUGCAUUAAAUUCUGUUUUUUUCCCCUUAGGUAUAGAUUGUCUGUUGGAAAAAUAUAUUGCUUGUGGAUUUCUUGGGGAGUGGGAAGGUGAAUUAUACCUGUUGUCUCUACAGUCCACUACCUUCCACACCCUAGGGCAGUGGUCCCCAACCUUCUUGGCACCAGGGAUCAGUUUCCUGGAAGACAAUUUUUCUGUGGAUGGUGUGGGGAUGGUUUUGGGAUGGAACUGUUCCACCUCAGAUCAUCAGGCAUUAGUUAGGCUCUCAUAACGAGUGCGCAGCCUAGAUCCCUCACAUGCACAGUUCACAGUAGGGUUUGCGCUGCUAUGAGAAUCUAAGGCUGCCACUGAUCUGACAGGAGGCAGAACUCAGGUGGCAAUGCUUACUGGCCCACUGCUCACCUCUUGCUGUGCGGCCUGGUUCCUAAUAGGCCAUGGACCCCCACAGACGGGUACUAGUCUGCAGCCUGUGGACCCCAGCCCUAGGGGCCUGCCAUUCUGAGUGAGUUAUUAGCAUGAAGAAGAGGAAGAUCUGGAUCAAACGUGGGUGAUGGUACUCAGAGACCCAAGAUAGGAUAGGGAUGGAACAAAAUCCAUCUGGGCAACGGCUCUAUGAAAAUUUGGCUAAGUAAUUAUUUCAGUAUUCAUUGUAUUCAUUGUCCUUCGUGUUCCAUAAGUUAAAUGACUGUCUAAUUUUUCCAAAAAUUUAUUUCUGACUUGAGAAUAAGUGUGUCAUGAUUUUCCCAGUGUAAAGACACUGAUAUAACUGUAGAUACCAGACAUUUUAUGUAGUGUCUAUGACACAUUUUAGUAUGUAUGAGCCAACAAUAGACAUGUCUUUGUCUUGAGGAGUGUCCAUCUGAAUUGAAAAUGUGUCAGCUUUUUUUUAACAUCAUCAACAGACUUCUUAAUUAAGCUGCCAAUACAUACUGCCAAUAGCACUGUGUGCUGUCUGAGAAAUGCAUUGUGUAAGUGCUAUUUCCAUCUUAUUAAAUAAACAAUGUUGCUCUGUAUAAACUGGAUUUAAAGUGUUCUUUGAAUGAGGCAUUAUAUUGCUCCAUAAAUAAUGUGAUGUGAAUUCUCAUAUGAUCCCUUUUAACUUAAUUUCUAAAAAAAUAUUAUUUGCUCCUCAGUAAGGAAUAGCUCUAAUUGGACUGGUAACUUUAGUGAUAUGAUUUGUCUGUAACAGGCUGAAUCGCCCCACUCCCAAACUCCUGGUCGUGAUACUGGAUAUUUGUUAUGCCACUUUUAGUUUGCAUGAGGUAUCUUCCAGGAAGUAUUAGUUAUUAACUUGUGUUCUACUAAACUGUAGAUAUUUAUUUCCUGUUCUGGAAGAUUUCUUGGAGUGUCCAUCUGUGCAUUCCUGGUGCCUAGUGUAGUCUUGCUAAUGGAAUAGCACCUUUAUUGGUGCUACUUAGGGGUUGGUAGCUUACAAUCAAUCUACUUGGAACGUAUCCAAAUAAACUGGAUAUUUUUAUACA
This 2900-nucleotide long non-coding RNA is filed under the name Homo sapiens (human). RNAcentral describes it as "NR2F1 regulatory antisense RNA 1, transcript variant 44 (NR2F1-AS1)". Lineage: Eukaryota; Metazoa; Chordata; Mammalia; Primates; Hominidae. The record is from RNAcentral.